This 2773-nucleotide ribosomal RNA is filed under the name Escherichia coli. Its description in RNAcentral is "bacterial LSU rRNA". It matches the Rfam family "Bacterial large subunit ribosomal RNA". Lineage: Bacteria; Pseudomonadati; Pseudomonadota; Gammaproteobacteria; Enterobacterales; Enterobacteriaceae. The record is from RNAcentral.
AGCGUACACGGUGGAUGCCCUGGCAGUCAGAGGCGAUGAAGGACGUGCUAAUCUGCGAUAAGCGUCGGUGAGGUGAUAUGAACCGUUAUAACCGGCGAUUUCCGAAUGGGGAAACCCAGUGUGUUUCGACACACUAUCAUUAACUGAAUCCAUAGGUUAAUGAGGCGAACCGGGGGAACUGAAACAUCUAAGUACCCCGAGGAAAAGAAAUCAACCGAGAUUCCCCCAGUAGCGGCGAGCGAACGGGGAGGAGCCCAGAGCCUGAAUCAGUGUGUGUGUUAGUGGAAGCGUCUGGAAAGGCGCGCGAUACAGGGUGACAGCCCCGUACACAAAAAUGCACAUAUUGUGAGCUCGAUGAGUAGGGCGGGACACGUGGUAUCCUGUCUGAAUAUGGGGGGACCAUCCUCCAAGGCUAAAUACUCCUGACUGACCGAUAGUGAACCAGUACCGUGAGGGAAAGGCGAAAAGAACCCCGGCGAGGGGAGUGAAAAAGAACCUGAAACCGUGUACGUACAAGCAGUGGGAGCCUCUUAAUGGGGUGACUGCGUACCUUUUGUAUAAUGGGUCAGCGACUUAUAUUCUGUAGCAAGGUUAACCGAAUAGGGGAGCCGAAGGGAAACCGAGUCUUAACUGGGCGUUAAGUUGCAGGGUAUAGACCCGAAACCCGGUGAUCUAGCCAUGGGCAGGUUGAAGGUUGGGUAACACUAACUGGAGGACCGAACCGACUAAUGUUGAAAAAUUAGCGGAUGACUUGUGGCUGGGGGUGAAAGGCCAAUCAAACCGGGAGAUAGCUGGUUCUCCCCGAAAGCUAUUUAGGUAGCGCCUCGUGAAUUCAUCUCCGGGGGUAGAGCACUGUUUCGGCAAGGGGGUCAUCCCGACUUACCAACCCGAUGCAAACUGCGAAUACCGGAGAAUGUUAUCACGGGAGACACACGGCGGGUGCUAACGUCCGUCGUGAAGAGGGAAACAACCCAGACCGCCAGCUAAGGUCCCAAAGUCAUGGUUAAGUGGGAAACGAUGUGGGAAGGCCCAGACAGCCAGGAUGUUGGCUUAGAAGCAGCCAUCAUUUAAAGAAAGCGUAAUAGCUCACUGGUCGAGUCGGCCUGCGCGGAAGAUGUAACGGGGCUAAACCAUGCACCGAAGCUGCGGCAGCGACACUAUGUGUUGUUGGGUAGGGGAGCGUUCUGUAAGCCUGUGAAGGUGUGCUGUGAGGUAUGCUGGAGGUAUCAGAAGUGCGAAUGCUGACAUAAGUAACGAUAAAGCGGGUGAAAAGCCCGCUCGCCGGAAGACCAAGGGUUCCUGUCCAACGUUAAUCGGGGCAGGGUGAGUCGACCCCUAAGGCGAGGCCGAAAGGCGUAGUCGAUGGGAAACAGGUUAAUAUUCCUGUACUUGGUGUUACUGCGAAGGGGGGACGGAGAAGGCUAUGUUGGCCGGGCGACGGUUGUCCCGGUUUAAGCGUGUAGGCUGGUUUUCCAGGCAAAUCCGGAAAAUCAAGGCUGAGGCGUGAUGACGAGGCACUACGGUGCUGAAGCGACAAAUGCCCUGCUUCCAGGAAAAGCCUCUAAGCAUCAGGUAACAUUAAAUCGUACCCCAAACCGACACAGGUGGUCAGGUAGAGAAUACCAAGGCGCUUGAGAGAACUCGGGUGAAGGAACUAGGCAAAAUGGUGCCGUAACUUCGGGAGAAGGCACGCUGAUAUGUAGGUGAAGCGACUUGCUCGUGGAGCUGAAAUCAGUCGAAGAUACCAGCUGGCUGCAACUGUUUAUUAAAAACACAGCACUGUGCAAACACGAAAGUGGACGUAUACGGUGUGACGCCUGCCCGGUGCCGGAAGGUUAAUUGAUGGGGUUAGCGGCAACGCGAAGCUCUUGAUCGAAGCCCCGGUAAACGGCGGCCGUAACUAUAACGGUCCUAAGGUAGCGAAAUUCCUUGUCGGGUAAGUUCCGACCUGCACGAAUGGCGUAAUGAUGGCCAGGCUGUCUCCACCCGAGACUCAGUGAAAUUGAACUCGCUGUGAAGAUGCAGUGUACCCGCGGCAAGACGGAAAGACCCCGUGAACCUUUACUAUAGCUUGACACUGAACAUUGAGCCUUGAUGUGUAGGAUAGGUGGGAGGCUUUGAAGUGUGGACGCCAGUCUGCAUGGAGCCGACCUUGAAAUACCACCCUUUAAUGUUUGAUGUUCUAACGUGGGCCCGUAAUCCGGGUUGCGGACAGUGUCUGGUGGGUAGUUUGACUGGGGCGGUCUCCUCCUAAAGAGUAACGGAGGAGCACGAAGGUUGGCUAAUCCUGGUCGGACAUCAGGAGGUUAGUGCAAUGGCAUAAGCCAGCUUGACUGCGAGCGUGACGGCGCGAGCAGGUGCGAAAGCAGGUCAUAGUGAUCCGGUGGUUCUGAAUGGAAGGGCCAUCGCUCAACGGAUAAAAGGUACUCCGGGGAUAACAGGCUGAUACCGCCCAAGAGUUCAUAUCGACGGCGGUGUUUGGCACCUCGAUGUCGGCUCAUCACAUCCUGGGGCUGAAGUAGGUCCCAAGGGUAUGGCUGUUCGCCAUUUAAAGUGGUACGCGAGCUGGGUUUAGAACGUCGUGAGACAGUUCGGUCCCUAUCUGCCGUGGGCGCUGGAGAACUGAGGGGGGCUGCUCCUAGUACGAGAGGACCGGAGUGGACGCAUCACUGGUGUUCGGGUUGUCAUGCCAAUGGCACUGCCCGGUAGCUAAAUGCGGAAGAGAUAAGUGCUGAAAGCAUCUAAGCACGAAACUUGCCCCGAGAUGAGUUCU